Long non-coding RNA from Ictalurus punctatus (channel catfish), 487 nucleotides. The record is from Ensembl. Lineage: Eukaryota; Metazoa; Chordata; Actinopteri; Siluriformes; Ictaluridae.
GGGCUGUGUCGGCGCAUGCGCAGUGCGUGCAGGAGGAGAGCCCUGUUUUGACUGUCACAGCGUUGAAGCGCGUAUACCGACUGGCGUGUGGGAUUUUGGAGCGAUUCUGCAUCAGGACGUAGAAUGUGAUUGGAAUGGGAGUCGGAGCGCCGAUUCCCUGAUAGGGUGGAUUAGAGUCUAUCAUUCUCUAAUGAUGCAGGGAGAGGACCGAAAGAAAAGGAAACCGAAUUUGAAUCCUAGAAGUGUGUCUGAGGAAUACUGUCUCAGAGAACGUCCGAAAGAAGACACGACAAGGAUGAAAAAUAAACUGUCCACUUCAGUUGUUAACAGUAAGAAAAGGCCCUGGUCAUGGGAUCAGUACUUGGAUGAGGAAAGAGCCAUCGCAGCCCCCCCGAGACUCUUUACUGAGGUUUUGCGCAGGACUAAAAAUAACAGCAGUCAGCAGUGGGAGCUGUGAGCUGCUUAUAUUGUGUGAAUAUUUAUACGG